Molecule: long non-coding RNA, 819 nt
Organism: Sorex araneus (European shrew)
Lineage: Eukaryota; Metazoa; Chordata; Mammalia; Eulipotyphla; Soricidae
Exons: 3
Source: RefSeq, a predicted model, not a curated record
GGGCAUCCAAGACUUCCUCCUAUUCUCCUCAUGGAUUCUGUAUGUGAUGGGAUGAUUAGAUUCCACUCUCACCAGCACAAUCUCAUCUUUUCUUGCUUACAUCUGCAAAGAGCCUACUUCCAGGUAGUCCUCAGCCCUUCAGGAUGUCUUUACUUCAGAAUGGUGUGUUUCCUGAGAGAGUCUUUACAGAGGUGGUUCCAGUAAAGCAAGGUGAUUAGCACCUUGAUCUCAGUGUGGCAGCCCAAGUAGACGAAGACACUGGUUUCCUCACUUUCCCAGGGUUUUGGGGUUCCAGGAACAUGAGAGAAAAAAGAAAAGUUGAAUGGAAAAGGAAGGAGGCCAGAUGCACUCAUGAAAACCAAGAAGAAACAGCCUUGAUCCCGAGACACAGCAGAGUCCUGGAAGACGGCAGCGUGCAGAGAUCUCUCCAGACCCCAUGCAGAGCCAGUUCCAUCAGGGUGCGUCCUCUCCACCUGCUACAGAUGAACCCCCGGUGGCCACAAGCUUCCAGAAGCAAAACCCAGGUACUCAGGCUCCAGGCCAAUGGUGGAGUGAAGACGAGCUGGCCCUCCCCCUCUCCCCACCCUCCGAGGGUCCUGGCUGUCACGCCCACAAUAUGCCUCCAGGUGCCAUCUCAGCCCAUCAAGAACCUUGAUCCAGAGACUCCCAAAUGAAACUCAAAAUGGAUUCGCUCUCUACAGAGAUGUCUCUGGACCUCAACCAUUUACAGUUUUAGAAUUCCUGGAGACCUCUCCUAGUAUUCAUAAUAAGCAAUAGAAAAUAAAUUAUCUAGCACCUGCCUCUGGCAGGCAGGCUUGA